RNAcentral lists this non-coding RNA (79 nucleotides) under Pseudomonas sp. GM18. Its description in RNAcentral is "Proteo-phage-1 RNA". It matches the Rfam family "Proteo-phage-1 RNA". The record is from Rfam by way of RNAcentral. Lineage: Bacteria; Pseudomonadati; Pseudomonadota; Gammaproteobacteria; Pseudomonadales; Pseudomonadaceae.
CUGUAGCCAAGGCAGCCUUCGGAAAGGCCUGGACACUGAUCAGCCGGUCGUGCAGUGCUACGACAAAACACCGGCAGCC